GAUGAACGCUGGCGGCGUGCUUAACACAUGCAAGUCGAACGAAGCACCUUGAUUUGAUUCUUCGGAUGAAGAUCUUGGUGACUGAGUGGCGGACGGGUGAGUAACGCGUGGGUAACCUGCCUCAUACAGGGGGAUAACAGUUAGAAAUGACUGCUAAUACCGCAUAAGACCACAGCACCGCAUGGUGCAGGGGUAAAAACUCCGGUGGUAUGAGAUGGACCCGCGUCUGAUUAGGUAGUUGGUGGGGUAACGGCCUACCAAGCCGACGAUCAGUAGCCGAGCUGGGAGGGUGACCGGCCACAUUGGGACUGAGACACGGCCCAAACUCCUACGGGAGGCAGCAGUGGGGAAUAUUGCACAAUGGGGGAAACCCUGAUGCAGCGACGCCGCGUGAGCGAUGAAGUAUCUCGGUAUGUAAAGCUCUAUCAGCAGGGAAGAAAAUGACGGUACCUGACGAAGAAGCACCGGCUAAAUACGUG
This 479-nucleotide ribosomal RNA is filed under the name uncultured bacterium. Its description in RNAcentral is "partial 16S ribosomal RNA". It matches the Rfam family "Bacterial small subunit ribosomal RNA", at positions 28 to 507 of the family's 1533-position model. The record is from RNAcentral.